AGUUUAUUAAUUUCCAUCUGGCCAUAGUUCAAAAAAAAAUCCAUCUGGCCAUAGAAGCAAAGCCCAGGAACCGAUCGCGCGGGAGGAGAUGGCCGACGGAGAGGACGCUGGCGCUGCCCGCCGACGCACCGCCGUCUCCGACUACCGGAAGAAGAUGCGCAACUUGAGGGACUCGCGCGUCGGAGCUGUGAACGAAAACUUAAAAAAUAAUCAGGAUUUUGCAAAGAUUGAAGAUUACUUGGAGCCACUCCAAACUGUUGGAGAGCUAACAUGAGAGGUUCUCGUCCUUUUGACAACGAACAUUUUAUUGUCGAGGCUAGCUGCGGCCCAAGAUACUGCCGGAGUAAAGUGGACAAGGAGAUACUAACUCCUGGAACUCCCGUCAGGCUGGACAUGAAAACUUUAACAAUCACGCAUACUCUGGAAAUGCCAGGCGAGG
This is a long non-coding RNA of Triticum aestivum (bread wheat), 439 nucleotides long. RefSeq lists it as uncharacterized. The record is from RefSeq and is a predicted model, not a curated record. The transcript has 3 exons. NCBI's taxonomy places the organism in Eukaryota, Viridiplantae, Streptophyta, Magnoliopsida, Poales, Poaceae.